RNAcentral lists this ribosomal RNA (253 nucleotides) under uncultured bacterium. RNAcentral describes it as "partial 16S ribosomal RNA". It matches the Rfam family "Bacterial small subunit ribosomal RNA", at positions 524 to 776 of the family's 1533-position model. The record is from RNAcentral.
UACGUAGGGGGCUAGCGUUGCUCGGAAUUACUGGGCGUAAAGGGCGCGUAGGCGGACAGGUUAGUCAGAUGUGAAAGCCCAGGGCUCAACCUUGGAAUUGCCUUUGAUACUGGCUGGCUUGAGUUCGGGAGAGGUGAGUGGAAUUCCGAGUGUAGAGGUGAAAUUCGUAGAUAUUCGGCGGAACACCAGUGGCGAAGGCGACUCACUGGCCCGAUACUGACGCUGAGGCGCGAAAGCGUGGGGAGCAAACAGG